CCUACGGGAGGCAGCAGUGAGGAAUAUUGGUCAAUGGCCGGAAGCCUGAACCAGCCAAGCCGCGUGAAGGAUGAAGGUGCCAAGCAUUGUAAACUUCUUUUGUCAAGGGACAAAAUCCGGUACGAGUGCCUGAUCGAGGGUACUUGAAGAAAAAGCAUCGGCUAACUCCGUGCCAGCAGCCGCGGUAAUACGGAGGAUGCGAGCGUUAUCCGGAUUUAUUGGGUUUAAAGGGUGCGUAGGCGGGCUGUUAAGUCAUGGGUAAAAGUUGGGGUUAAACCCCGACGAGCCGUUGAAACUGGCUGUCUUGAGAAGUCGAGAGGUAUGCGGAAUGCGUGGUGUAGCGGUGAAAUGCUUAGAUAUUGCGCAGAACUCCGAUUGCGAAGGCAGCAUACCGGCGGCGAUCUGACGCUGAGGCACGAAAGCGUGGGUAUCGAACAGGAUUAGAUACCCUAGUAGUC
RNAcentral lists this ribosomal RNA (458 nucleotides) under uncultured bacterium. RNAcentral's name for it is "partial 16S ribosomal RNA". It matches the Rfam family "Bacterial small subunit ribosomal RNA", at positions 338 to 795 of the family's 1533-position model. The record is from RNAcentral.